Molecule: ribosomal RNA, 586 nt
Filed under: uncultured bacterium
Lineage: Bacteria
Description: partial 16S ribosomal RNA
Rfam family: Bacterial small subunit ribosomal RNA
Source: RNAcentral
UGGGGAAUUUUGGACAAUGGGCGAAAGCCUGAUCCAGCAAUGCCGCGUGUGUGAAGAAGGCCUUCGGGUUGUAGAGCACUUUUGUCCGGAAAGAAAUCCUUGGCUCUAAUACAGUCGGGGGAUGACGGUACCGGAAGAAUAAGCACCGGCUAACUACGUGCCAGCAGCCGCGGUAAUACGUAGGGUGCAAGCGUUAAUCGGAAUUACUGGGCGUAAAGCGUGCGCAGGCGGUUUGCUAAGACCGAUGUGAAAUCCCCGGGCUCAACCUGGGAACUGCAUUGGUGACUGGCAGGCUAGAGUAUGGCAGAGGGGGGUAGAAUUCCACGUGUAGCAGUGAAAUGCGUAGAGAUGUGGAGGAAUACCGAUGGCGAAGGCAGCCCCCUGGGCCAAUACUGACGCUCAUGCACGAAAGCGUGGGGAGCAAACAGGAUUAGAUACCCUGGUAGUCCACGCCCUAAAACGAUGUCAACUAGUUGUUGGGGAUUCAUUUCCUUAGUAACGUAGCUAACGCGUGAAGUUGACCGCCUGGGGAGUACGGUCGCAAGAUUAAAACUCAAAGGAAUUGACGGGGUCAUAGCUGUUUCCU